RNAcentral lists this ribosomal RNA (742 nucleotides) under Faecalibacterium prausnitzii. Its description in RNAcentral is "bacterial SSU rRNA". It matches the Rfam family "Bacterial small subunit ribosomal RNA", at positions 92 to 850 of the family's 1533-position model. The record is from RNAcentral. Lineage: Bacteria; Bacillati; Bacillota; Clostridia; Eubacteriales; Oscillospiraceae.
CGAGUGGCGAACGGGUGAGUAACGCGUGAGGAACCUGCCUCAAAGAGGGGGACAACAGUUGGAAACGACUGCUAAUACCGCAUAAGCCCACAGCUCGGCAUCGAGCAGAGGGAAAAGGAGUGAUCCGCUUUGAGAUGGCCUCGCGUCCGAUUAGCUGGUUGGUGAGGUAACGGCCCACCAAGGCGACGAUCGGUAGCCGGACUGAGAGGUUGAACGGCCACAUUGGGACUGAGACACGGCCCAGACUCCUACGGGAGGCAGCAGUGGGGAAUAUUGCACAAUGGGGGAAACCCUGAUGCAGCGACGCCGCGUGGAGGAAGAAGGUCUUCGGAUUGUAAACUCCUGUUGUUGAGGAAGAUAAUGACGGUACUCAACAAGGAAGUGACGGCUAACUACGUGCCAGCAGCCGCGGUAAAACGUAGGUCACAAGCGUUGUCCGGAAUUACUGGGUGUAAAGGGAGCGCAGGCGGGAAAGCAAGUUGGAAGUGAAAUCCAUGGGCUCAACCCAUGAACUGCUUUCAAAACUGUUUUUCUUGAGUAGUGCAGAGGUAGGCGGAAUUCCCGGUGUAGCGGUGGAAUGCGUAGAUAUCGGGAGGAACACCAGUGGCGAAGGCGGCCUACUGGGCACCAACUGACGCUGAGGCUCGAAAGUGUGGGUAGCAAACAGGAUUAGAUACCCUGGUAGUCCACACUGUAAACGAUGAUUACUAGGUGUUGGAGGAUUGACCCCUUCAGUGCCGCA